CUGUGGGAGGAGUAAGCGGCG
This 21-nucleotide unclassified non-coding RNA is filed under the name Chlamydomonas reinhardtii. Its description in RNAcentral is "small RNA Cre_1527". The record is from RNAcentral. Lineage: Eukaryota; Viridiplantae; Chlorophyta; Chlorophyceae; Chlamydomonadales; Chlamydomonadaceae.